RNAcentral lists this long non-coding RNA (579 nucleotides) under Mytilus galloprovincialis (Mediterranean mussel). Lineage: Eukaryota; Metazoa; Mollusca; Bivalvia; Mytilida; Mytilidae. The record is from RNAcentral.
AGAUAUUAGUCAGUUUUAUUUGUUGUAUUACUGUUCCUGACAAAGUUCAACCUGUUGCUCCACUAAUCCCGCACAAAGCUCUACAGUCUGAUUGAUUCGUCAGUCUGGUGUCUCCAUAAGCUUCCAAUGACUCUGAAAGUUUUUAAGCGCCUUGAAGCGUGUUCGACAUACAUGUAUACCCGAUACUCUGAUAUAUGCAAAUUCAUUUUUUUUUUAAUAUUUUCUUCUUUCUGCUCGUUGUUUAGCUCUAAGUUGAUGGCGCCUGUAGCGGAUAAAGAGGGGCGAUGGACAUGGAUAAUUUUUUCCCGCUAAGAUGACAAAAUUCGGUGGGAAAUCUAACUCCAAACCUGGUCGAAUGAAAGGCAAUAGAUUAUACUGUUGGGCAUCAUUUUGGUGUCCUAUAUAUGAAACCACUUCGAAUAAAUCUUGUAUGACUUCUGUUGUCCACAAUCACCUAUGUAUGAAUGCAAUGUCCGCAAAAAGUGGAGCUAAAAUGUAAAUGCAAAGCCAUUAUGCAAUGCUUUUGAAACUCUGCAGGGAAGUUCAACCGGUGAGUAGUGAGUCAUAUUUUACACAAAC